UAGGGAAUAUUGGACAAUGGGGGCAACCCUGAUCCAGCCAUGCCGCGUGAGUGAAGAAGGCCCUCGGGUUGUAAAGCUCUUUUGUCCGGAAAGAAAAGCUUCGGGCUAAUACCCCGGGGUUCUGACGGUACCGGAGGAAUAAGCACCGGCUAACUUCGUGCCAGCAGCCGCGGUAAUACGAAGGGUGCAAGCGUUACUCGGAAUUACUGGGCGUAAAGCGUGCGUAGGUGGUUGUUUAAGUCUGAUGUGAAAGCCCUGGGCUCAACCUGGGAAUGGCAUUGGAAACUGGGCAGCUAGAGUGCGGUAGAGGGUAGUGGAAUUCCCGGUGUAGCAGUGAAAUGCGUAGAGAUCGGGAGGAACAUCUGUGGCGAAGGCGACUGCCUGGACCAGCACUGACACUGAGGCACAAAAGCGUGGGGAGCAAACA
This 427-nucleotide ribosomal RNA is filed under the name uncultured bacterium. RNAcentral describes it as "bacterial SSU rRNA". It matches the Rfam family "Bacterial small subunit ribosomal RNA", at positions 355 to 774 of the family's 1533-position model. The record is from RNAcentral.